CAGUCGACGAACUCUGGUAUUGAUUGGUGCUUGCAUCAUGAUUUACAUUUGAGUGAGUGGCGAACUGGUGAGUAACACGUGGGAAACCUGCCCAGAAGCGGGGGAUAACACCUGGAAACAGAUGCUAAUACCGCAUAACAACUUGGACCGCAUGGUCCGAGUUUGAAAGAUGGCUUCGGCUAUCACUUUUGGAUGGUCCCGCGGCGUAUUAGCUAGAUGGUGAGGUAACGGCUCACCAUGGCAAUGAUACGUAGCCGACCUGAGAGGGUAAUCGGCCACAUUGGGACUGAGACACGGCCCAAACUCCUACGGGAGGCAGCAGUAGGGAAUCUUCCACAAUGGACGAAAGUCUGAUGGAGCAACGCCGCGUGAGUGAAGAAGGGUUUCGGCUCGUAAAACUCUGUUGUUAAAGAAGAACAUAUCUGAGAGUAACUGUUCAGGUAUUGACGGUAUUUAACCAGAAAGCCACGGCUAACUACGUGCCAGCAGCCGCGGUAAUACGUAGGUGGCAAGCGUUGUCCGGAUUUAUUGGGCGUAAAGCGAGCGCAGGCGGUUUUUUAAGUCUGAUGUGAAAGCCUUCGGCUCAACCGAAGAAGUGCAUCGGAAACUGGGAAACUUGAGUGCAGAAGAGGACAGUGGAACUCCAUGUGUAGCGGUGAAAUGCGUAGAUAUAUGGAAGAACACCAGUGGCGAAGGCGGCUGUCUGGUCUGUAACUGACGCUGAGGCUCGAAAGUAUGGGUAGCAAACAGGAUUAGAUACCCUGGUAGUCCAUACCGUAAACGAUGAAUGCUAAGUGUUGGAGGGUUUCCGCCCUUCAGUGCUGCAGCUAACGCAUUAAGCAUUCCGCCUGGGGAGUACGGCCGCAAGGCUGAAACUCAAAGGAAUUGACGGGGGCCCGCACAAGCGGUGGAGCAUGUGGUUUAAUUCGAAGCUACGCGAAGAACCUUACCAGGUCUUGACAUACUAUGCAAAUCUAAGAGAUUAGACGUUCCCUUCGGGGACAUGGAUACAGGUGGUGCAUGGUUGUCGUCAGCUCGUGUCGUGAGAUGUUGGGUUAAGUCCCGCAACGAGCGCAACCCUUAUUAUCAGUUGCCAGCAUUAAGUUGGGCACUCUGGUGAGACUGCCGGUGACAAACCGGAGGAAGGUGGGGAUGACGUCAAAUCAUCAUGCCCCUUAUGACCUGGGCUACACACGUGCUACAAUGGAUGGUACAACGAGUUGCGAACUCGCGAGAGUAAGCUAAUCUCUUAAAGCCAUUCUCAGUUCGGAUUGUAGGCUGCAACUCGCCUACAUGAAGUCGGAAUCGCUAGUAAUCGCGGAUCAGCAUGCCGCGGUGAAUACGUUCCCGGGCCUUGUACACACC
This 1365-nucleotide ribosomal RNA is filed under the name Lactiplantibacillus plantarum. RNAcentral's name for it is "bacterial SSU rRNA". It matches the Rfam family "Bacterial small subunit ribosomal RNA", at positions 59 to 1391 of the family's 1533-position model. The record is from RNAcentral. Lineage: Bacteria; Bacillati; Bacillota; Bacilli; Lactobacillales; Lactobacillaceae.